UACGAGGGGGGCAAGCGUUAAUCGGAUUUAUUGGGCGUAAAGGGCGCGUAGGCGGGGAUGUAAGUCAGAUGUGAAAUCCCGAGGCUCAACCUCGGAACAGCAUUUGAAACUCCAUCUCUUGAGGAUAGGCGGAGAAAACGGAAUUCCACAUGUAGCGGUGAAAUGCGUGGAUAUGUGGAAGAACAUCGGUGGCGAAGGCGGUUUUCUAGCUUAAACCUGACGCUGAGGCACGAAAGCUAGGGGAGCAAACAGG
This 253-nucleotide ribosomal RNA is filed under the name uncultured bacterium. Its description in RNAcentral is "partial 16S ribosomal RNA". It matches the Rfam family "Bacterial small subunit ribosomal RNA", at positions 524 to 776 of the family's 1533-position model. The record is from RNAcentral.